CGACUCUCGGCAACGGAUAUCUCGGCUCUCGCCACGAUGAAGAAUGUAGCGAAAUGCGAUACUUAGUGUGAAUUGCAGAAUCCCGUGAAUCAUCAAGUCUUUGAACGCAAGUUGCGCCCGAGGCCUCGGCCAAGGGCACGUCUGCUUGGGCGUCGCAC
This 158-nucleotide ribosomal RNA is filed under the name Cupressus sempervirens. RNAcentral's name for it is "5.8S ribosomal RNA". It matches the Rfam family "5.8S ribosomal RNA". From Rfam's summary of the family: 5.8S ribosomal RNA (5.8S rRNA) is a component of the large subunit of the eukaryotic ribosome. It is transcribed by RNA polymerase I as part of the 45S precursor that also contains 18S and 28S rRNA. The record is from RNAcentral. Lineage: Eukaryota; Viridiplantae; Streptophyta; Pinopsida; Cupressales; Cupressaceae.